Small nucleolar RNA from Salvia splendens (bonfire salvia), 107 nucleotides. Lineage: Eukaryota; Viridiplantae; Streptophyta; Magnoliopsida; Lamiales; Lamiaceae. The record is from RefSeq and is a predicted model, not a curated record.
AAACCGUGGUUGGGGCAUUUGUGGAUGAGGCCCUUGAAACGUGCGACGGCUUCAAAAAGAGGUUCAUCAUGUCCUUGCACGAACCGAAAGAUUUUGUUUUUAAGCUU